CCGCUCAGGAUGAACGCUAGCGGCAGGCUUAACACAUGCAAGUCGAGGGGUAACAGGUAGAAAGCUUGCUUUCUAUGCUGACGACCGGCGCACGGGUGAGUAACGCGUAUGCAACCUACCUUUAACUGGAGAAUAGCCCCGAGAAAUCGGGAUUAAUGCUCCAUAACAAUUAGAUAUCGCAUGGUAUUAAAGUUAAAGUUCCGGCGGUUAAAGAUGGGCAUGCGUGACAUUAGUUAGUUGGUGAGGUAACGGCUCACCAAGGUGACGAUGUCUAGGGGUUCUGAGAGGAUUAUCCCCCACACUGGUACUGAGACACGGACCAGACUCCUACGGGAGGCAGCAGUAAGGAAUAUUGGGCAAUGGACGCAAGACUGACCCAGCCAUGCCGCGUG
This 392-nucleotide ribosomal RNA is filed under the name uncultured bacterium. RNAcentral describes it as "bacterial SSU rRNA". It matches the Rfam family "Bacterial small subunit ribosomal RNA", at positions 20 to 403 of the family's 1533-position model. The record is from RNAcentral.